AUGAUGGCCAAGUUUCGCAUGAGCGACCUAGGGCUGCUCAGUUUUUAUCUCGGCAUCGAGGUGAAGCAAGGAAGGGGAGAGAUCAUCCUAUCCCAAUCUGCAUAUGCCGGCAAGCUGCUGGAGCGCGCGGGCAUGGCGGGCUGCAAUCCAACGCAUGUCCCCAUGGAGCCGCGGCUUCGUCUAAGCAAGAAUGGAUCAGAACCACAGGUGAACGCCACGGAUUACCGCAGCAUCAUCGGAGGGCUGCGGUACCUCACUCACACCCGGCCGGACAUCUUGUUCGCGGUGGGUUAUGUCAGUCGCUUCAUGGAGGCACCGAGCACGGCGCAUCUCGCCGCCGUCAAACACUUGUUGCGCUACAUUGCGGGCACGCGCAGGUACUGCUGCCGAUACACCAAGGGCGGCGAGAGCAAGCUCGUCGGAUACAGUGAUUCUGACAUGGCCGGCGAUGUCGACGAUCGCAAUAGCACCUCGGGGAACAUCUUCUUCAUCGGAGGUGCGCCGAUCACCUGGCAGUCGCAGAAACAGAAGAUUGUUGCUCUGUCGUCGUGUGAAGCGGAGUAUGUGGCGGCAACUACAGCAGCUUGUCAGGCCAUCUGGCUGAGCAGGCUCAUGGGCGAUCUGUUCAUGGAGGAGCACGGCGCAGUCACCAUUUUCGUCGACAACAAGUCAGCCAUACAGUUGUGCAAGAAUCCGGUCUUCCAUGAUCGGAGCAAGCACAUCGAUGUACGAUUCCACUUCAUCCGAUACUGCAUUGAGGAAGAAAAGAUCAAAGUCGAACACAUUCCUACAGGUGAUCAGCUCGCAGACAUGUUCACCAAAGCACUCGGGCGCACGCGGUUCCAGGAGCUGCGCUCGCGUAUUGGCAUGGUCGAAGUUUAA
This 882-nucleotide ribosomal RNA is filed under the name Triticum aestivum (bread wheat). Its description in RNAcentral is "partial small subunit ribosomal RNA". Lineage: Eukaryota; Viridiplantae; Streptophyta; Magnoliopsida; Poales; Poaceae. The record is from RNAcentral.